This 784-nucleotide ribosomal RNA is filed under the name Bacillus safensis. RNAcentral's name for it is "bacterial SSU rRNA". It matches the Rfam family "Bacterial small subunit ribosomal RNA", at positions 401 to 1178 of the family's 1533-position model. Lineage: Bacteria; Bacillati; Bacillota; Bacilli; Caryophanales; Bacillaceae. The record is from RNAcentral.
GUGAGUGAUGAAGGUUUUCGGAUCGUAAAGCUCUGUUGUUAGGGAAGAACAAGUGCGAGAGUAACUGCUCGCACCUUGACGGUACCUAACCAGAAAGCCACGGCUAACUACGUGCCAGCAGCCGCGGUAAUACGUAGGUGGCAAGCGUUGUCCGGAAUUAUUGGGCGUAAAGGGCUCGCAGGCGGUUUCUUAAGUCUGAUGUGAAAGCCCCCGGCUCAACCGGGGAGGGUCAUUGGAAACUGGGAAACUUGAGUGCAGAAGAGGAGAGUGGAAUUCCACGUGUAGCGGUGAAAUGCGUAGAGAUGUGGAGGAACACCAGUGGCGAAGGCGACUCUCUGGUCUGUAACUGACGCUGAGGAGCGAAAGCGUGGGGAGCGAACAGGAUUAGAUACCCUGGUAGUCCACGCCGUAAACGAUGAGUGCUAAGUGUUAGGGGGUUUCCGCCCCUUAGUGCUGCAGCUAACGCAUUAAGCACUCCGCCUGGGGAGUACGGUCGCAAGACUGAAACUCAAAGGAAUUGACGGGGGCCCGCACAAGCGGUGGAGCAUGUGGUUUAAUUCGAAGCAACGCGAAGAACCUUACCAGGUCUUGACAUCCUCUGACAACCCUAGAGAUAGGGCUUUCCCUUCGGGGACAGAGUGACAGGUGGUGCAUGGUUGUCGUCAGCUCGUGUCGUGAGAUGUUGGGUUAAGUCCCGCAACGAGCGCAACCCUUGAUCUUAGUUGCCAGCAUUCAGUUGGGCACUCUAAGGUGACUGCCGGUGACAAACCGGAGGAAGGUGGGG